RNAcentral lists this ribosomal RNA (274 nucleotides) under uncultured bacterium. RNAcentral's name for it is "partial 16S ribosomal RNA". It matches the Rfam family "Bacterial small subunit ribosomal RNA", at positions 523 to 796 of the family's 1533-position model. The record is from RNAcentral.
AUACGGAGGGUGCGAGCGUUAAUCGUAAUUACUGGGCGUAAAGCGUACGUAGGCGGUUGGUUAAGUUAGAUGUGAAAGCCCCGGGCUUAACCUGGGAACUGCAUUUAAAACUGGCGAACUAGAGUUGAGUAGAGGGGAGUGGAAUUUCAGGUGUAGCGGUGAAAUGCGUAGAGAUCUGAAGGAACACCAGUGGCGAAGGCGACUCCCUGGACUCGAACUGACGCUGAGGUACGAAAGCGUGGGUAGCAAACGGGAUUAGAAACCCUAGUAGUCC